This is a non-coding RNA of Solanum lycopersicum (tomato), 192 nucleotides long. NCBI's taxonomy places the organism in Eukaryota, Viridiplantae, Streptophyta, Magnoliopsida, Solanales, Solanaceae. The record is from RefSeq and is a predicted model, not a curated record.
AAAAAAGAAAAAAGAGAACACCGGAGGGGGUGAACUACGAAGAAAGCACUGAAAGUCUUGCGGGUUAUGAGCCCGAAUUUUUAUGGCACGUGUCAUUCUAUUCAUUUUCUAAGCUUCUUGGAGAUUUUGUGAGCAAACGUGCCAUCGACUUCGACUCGUCCUCAACUCUAGCCAGUCUUCAUCACGCCAGAU